AUGAACGCUAGCGACAGGCCUAACACAUGCAAGUCGAGGGGCAGCACAAGGAGCAAUCUGAGGUGGCGACCGGCGCACGGGUGAGUAACACGUAUGCAACCUGCCUGUAAGCGGGGAAUAACCCGUUGAAAGACGGACUAAUACCGCAUAAUACUAAAUUACUGCAUGGUAAUUUAUUUAAACAUUUAUGGCUUACAGAUGGGCAUGCGCAUGAUUAGCUAGUUGGAGAGGUAACGGCUCCCCAAGGCAACGAUCAUUAGGGGUCUGAGAGGAAGGUCCCCCACACUGGUACUGAGACACGGACCAGACUCCUACGGGAGGCAGCAGUGAGGAAUAUUGGUCAAUGGACGAGAGUCUGAACCAGCCAAGUCGCGUGCAGGAAGAAUGUUCCCUAUGGAUUGUAAACUGCUUUUGCAGGGGAAUAAAGUGCAUCACGUGUGAUGUUUUGUAUGUACUCUGCGAAUAAGGAUCGGCUAACUCCGUGCCAGCCGCCGC
RNAcentral lists this ribosomal RNA (495 nucleotides) under uncultured bacterium. Its description in RNAcentral is "bacterial SSU rRNA". It matches the Rfam family "Bacterial small subunit ribosomal RNA", at positions 29 to 518 of the family's 1533-position model. The record is from RNAcentral.